GAUGAACGCUGGCGGCGUGCCUAAUACAUGCAAGUCGAGCGAACGGACGAGAAGCUUGCUUCUCUGAUGUUAGCGGCGGACGGGUGAGUAACACGUGGAUAACCUACCUAUAAGACUGGGAUAACUUCGGGAAACCGGAGCUAAUACCGGAUAAUAUUUUGAACCGCAUGGUUCAAAAGUGAAAGACGGUCCUGCUGUCACUUAUAGAUGGAUCCGCGCUGCAUUAGCUAGUUGGUAAGGUAACGGCUUACCAAGGCAACGAUGCAUAGCCGACCUGAGAGGGUGAUCGGCCACCCUGGAACUGAGACACGGUCCAGACUCCUACGGGAGGCAGCAGUAGGGAAUCUUCCGCAAUGGGCGAAAGCCUGACGGAGCAACGCCGCGUGAGUGAUGAAGGUCUUCGGAUCGUAAAACUCUGUUAUUAGGGAAGAACAUAUGUGUAAGUAACUGUGCACAUCUUGACGGUACCUAAUCAGAAAGCCACGGCUAACUACGUG
Molecule: ribosomal RNA, 497 nt
Filed under: uncultured bacterium
Lineage: Bacteria
Description: partial 16S ribosomal RNA
Rfam family: Bacterial small subunit ribosomal RNA
Source: RNAcentral